GACGAACGCUGGCGGCGUGCUUAACACAUGCAAGUCGAACGGAAAGGCCCUGCUUUUGUGGGGGGCUCGAGUGGCGAACGGGGGGGUAACACGUGAGUAACCUGCCCUUGACUUUGGGAUAACUUCAGGAAACGGGGGCUAAUACCGGAUAGGAGCUCCUGCUGCAUGGUGGGGGUUGGAAAGUUUCGGCGGUUGGGGAUGGACUCGCGGCUUAUCAGCUUGUUGGUGGGGUAGUGGCUUACCAAGGCUUUGACGGGUAGCCGGCCUGAGAGGGUGACCGGCCACAUUGGGACUGAGAUACGGCCCAGACUCCUACGGGAGGCAGCAGUGGGGAAUAUUGCACAACGGGCGGAAGCCUGAUGCAGCAACGCCGCGUGCGGGAUGACGGCCUUCGGGUUGUAAACCGCUUUCGCCUGUGACGAAGCGUGAGUGACGGUAAUGGGUAAAGAAGCACCGGCUAACUACGUG
RNAcentral lists this ribosomal RNA (468 nucleotides) under uncultured bacterium. RNAcentral's name for it is "partial 16S ribosomal RNA". It matches the Rfam family "Bacterial small subunit ribosomal RNA", at positions 28 to 507 of the family's 1533-position model. The record is from RNAcentral.